Molecule: ribosomal RNA, 392 nt
Filed under: uncultured bacterium
Lineage: Bacteria
Description: bacterial SSU rRNA
Rfam family: Bacterial small subunit ribosomal RNA
Source: RNAcentral
AAUCAACGCUGGCGGCGUGCCUAACACAUGCAAGUCGAACGAGAAAGUGGAGCAAUCCAUGAGUAAAGUGGCGACCGGGUGAGUAACACGUGACUAACCUACCUUCGAGUGGGGGAUAACCUCGGGAAACCGGGGCUAAUACCGCAUAACAUCUUUGGAGUGGAAAUUUCGGAGAUCAAAGGAGCAAUUCGCUGGAAGAGGGGGUCGCGGCUGAUUAGCUAGUUGGCGGGGUAACGCCCACCAAGGCUUAGAUCGGUAGCCGGCCUGAGAGGGCGCACGGCCACACUGGAACUGAAACACGGUCCAGACUCCUACGGGAGGCAGCAGUGGGGAAUUUUGCGCAAUGGGGGAAACCCUGACGCAGCAACGCCGCGUGGAGGAUGAAGUCCCUU